Non-coding RNA from Cinara cedri, 402 nucleotides. Lineage: Eukaryota; Metazoa; Arthropoda; Insecta; Hemiptera; Aphididae. The record is from the annotation of a GenBank genome assembly.
GGACGGACAGGCGUUUACGCGCGACGCAUAAAGUCCCCGUGUACACGCGCGAACACGCACUGAAAUUGUUAACAAAAAACAUUGUCGUCGCGUACGCGUACCCUGCGGAAUAUUUUGGUUUUUUUUUUUUUUACCCAUUUCACCGCUACAGCCGCGGUCUCUCGGGUUUUUAGGACUCGACCGCUCCCUCCCCCUACCCCCUCGGCGCAUUGAUCGCGGCGGCGAGCCGGAGUAGGUGACCAUAACAAUCGUAACGCGAACCCGCGCUGACAAUAUCACAGUAAUCGCCUGUAUGUUCGAAAAUCCGAACGCCCCGUUCUGGCGACGGCAUAACGAUCGGUUCGCUCCUCCCGUCCGCGACAGACGACCGUGUUCCUCCGCAGCCCCGUACGUCGAGCGAUG